Micromonospora aurantiaca ATCC 27029 is the source of this 75-nucleotide non-coding RNA. It matches the Rfam family "ASpks TB sRNA". Lineage: Bacteria; Bacillati; Actinomycetota; Actinomycetes; Micromonosporales; Micromonosporaceae. The record is from Rfam.
CUUGACCGACCCGAGCAGCAGCGGUGCGGCCUCGUCGCGGUCCUGCCCGUACGUGGCCAGCAGCGCCUGCGCCUC